GUCUCGAACUCCUCAGCUCAAGUGAUUCGCCUGCCUUGACGUCCCAAAUGCUGGGAUUACAGGUGUGAGCCACCACAUUUGGCCUAAAACACUGUGAUCCAAGAAUUCUUCAUCCCUGUAUCUAUUUGCAGUGGUUAUUCCUCGUUCCUGCUAACCAGGGGAUAAAAGCACAUCUCCAUGAUUUGGGGUAGUUUCUUGAAACACAUCUGUUCUCCCUUUGCAGACACAUCAUCUCAGAGUUGGAGCACCUGACAUUUGUCAACACGGACGUGGGCCGCUGCCGGGCAUGGCUACGGCUGGCCCUGAAUGAUGGCCUGAUGGAGUGCUACCUGAAGCUGCUGCUGGAGGAGCAGGCCCGCUUGCGCGAGUACUACCAGCCCACUGCCCUGCUCCGGGACGCCGAGGAGAGCGAGUUCCUCCUGAGCUUCCUGCAGGGCCUCACGUCCUUGUCCUUCGAACUCUCCUACAAGUCUGCCAUCUUAAAUGAGUGGACGCUUACCCCACUGGCCCUGUCUGGGCUUUGCCCGCUUUCUGAGCUGGACCCUCUCUCUACCUCUGGUGCAGAACUACAGCGGAAGGAGUCUCUGGAUUCCAUUUCCCAUUCCUCAGGCUCUGAGGACAUUGAAGUCCAGCACUCGGGUCAUAAGAUCCGAAGGAACCAGAAGCUCACUGCCUCGUCCCUCAGCCUGGACACGGCCAGUUCAUCCCAGCUGUCCUGCAGCCUAAACUCUGAUAGCUGCUUACUCCAAGAGAAUGGCUCCAAGAGUCCAGACUGUUGUGAGGAGCCCAUGUCCUACGACUCAGACCUGGGCACAGCAAACGCUGAGGACUCAGACCGGUCUCUGCAAGAGUGAGUACCCUCCCCCGACUCCUUCCUGCCCUCUCUCCUCCCUCCCUUCUUUCUUUCCUCUCUUACUCCCUUUCUUCCUGUAGCAUGUGAUUGUCUGUCACUGAACUCUAGUAGUAAUUCAAGAAAGCCAAGGGAGACAUCGCCUUCUGCAGUAAUUGGAGUCGCUGGGAGCAGGCAACAUAAGCAUAGUGGAGAGAAUGGACUUAGAACAGCUCAGAGCUGGUUUGGGCUCCAGCUCUGCCUCGGUGACUUUUAGCAAGUUACUUGGCCGAAUGCAGUGGCUCACACCUGAAAUCCAAACACUUGGGAGGCUAAGGCAGGAGGAUUGCUUGAGCCCA
Molecule: RNA transcript, 1188 nt
Organism: Sapajus apella (tufted capuchin)
Lineage: Eukaryota; Metazoa; Chordata; Mammalia; Primates; Cebidae
Gene name: pleckstrin homology domain-containing family M member 1 pseudogene
Exons: 1
Source: RefSeq, a predicted model, not a curated record